UUGUAAUUUGCAGAGGAUGCUUGGGGAGCGGCCCCCAUUUAAGUGCCCUGGAACGGGCCGUCAUAAAGGGUGAGAAUCCCGUCUGGGAUGGGGUGCCCGCGCCCGUGUGAAGCUCCUUCGACGAGUCGAGUUGUUUGGGAAUGCAGCUNUAAGGGGGUGGUAAAUUUNAUCUAAAGCUAAUUACUGGCCGGAGACCGAUGGCGCACAAGUAGAGUGAUCGAAAGAUGAAAAGNACUUUGAAAAGAGAGUUAAACUNNAUGUGAAAUUGUUGAANGGGAAGCGCUUGCGACCAGACUCNCUCGCGGGGUUCACCCGGUCUUCNGGCCNGUGUACUUCCCCGCGGGCGGACCNCCGUCNGUUUGGGCGGACGGUNAAAGGCCCUNNGAAUGUAACGCCCCCGGGGGCNUCUUAUAGUCNAGGGUGCCAUGCNGCCAGNCCGGACCGANGAACGCGCUUCGGCUCGNACGCUGGNAUAAUGGUCGUAAGCGACCCGU
This 494-nucleotide ribosomal RNA is filed under the name soil fungal sp. DM2-360. RNAcentral describes it as "partial 28S rRNA". It matches the Rfam family "Eukaryotic large subunit ribosomal RNA", at positions 143 to 652 of the family's 3401-position model. The record is from RNAcentral. Lineage: Eukaryota; Fungi.